RNAcentral lists this transfer RNA (808 nucleotides) under Mesorhizobium loti. RNAcentral describes it as "partial contains 16S rRNA and ITS1". The stretch from base 220 to 293 matches the Rfam family "tRNA". The record is from RNAcentral. Lineage: Bacteria; Pseudomonadati; Pseudomonadota; Alphaproteobacteria; Hyphomicrobiales; Phyllobacteriaceae.
GUAGGGGAACCUGCGGCUGGAUCACCUCCUUUCUAAGGAUGGUUCUUCAGAAGCCUGCUUCUAUCGAACCGUUUUAGAAACAUCAGUGGCCAACAGAUCGCCAGAUCGUUGAGCUGCAUUGGCGGGAUUUCGCCGUCUUCGUUUCUCUUUCUUCGCGGACGAACACGCGCUGGGGCUGCAGGCUUGCAGAUCCCUGGUCCUUGACUGGAUAUGCGUUAGGGGCUUGUAGCUCAGUUGGUUAGAGCGCGCGCUUGAUAAGCGUGAGGUCGGAAGUUCAAGUCUUCCCAGGCCCACCACUUUCAUCGAGUGAGCAUUCGUCUUCUGGUUACGGGGCCAUAGCUCAGCUGGGAGAGCGCGUGCUUUGCAAGCAUGAGGUCGUCGGUUCGAUCCCGUCUGGCUCCACCAGAUGGUUUGAUCACCGAGAUCUUGCACCGUCGUCCGCGAAACAUCACUUCGCACUUGCUAGUCCGGAUGGACAGUAAGCUGCGUGAUUUCUGACAUCGUAAAGAGGAGAUCGAUCCGAGUUGGAUCGUGCGGAGAAUAUCCGCGCGAGACUUCAUUAUCUCCGGAUCAUUUCGGCGCUCGCGCACCUUUCAGUGUGGCUCACAAGGCUGCGUCUGAAGGAGCUGCGAGUUGUGAAUGAUCCUUUUAGCGAAGCUUGACCGCCUCGCUAUCGGAACGAUCUUACGAAGCAAGCUGGUCUUUCUAGUCAAUGUCCGGCUGUAGAUAGCGUUCAUCGAGGGCGCGUGCCGCAAGGCAAUUCUGCAGACAACAUUCUGCCGAGUGUGUGGACAUUGAUAAUGAGAGC